ACUUUUCUCCCCCUUCAUUGUAUCUGAGCUUCUCAGAAUCACAUACACACUUUUCUAUUUUUACUUUCCAGCCUGGGCCCACUUCCAAAUGUGAAACUGUGGGAUUCCUGCACUCCUACAUAUGUAAGACCCAGACUGAACUCAAAGGUCUGACCAGUUUACCUCCGCAACCAGACUACUUUCUUCAUAGUGCACAACUGAAAUUGGAGACCAUUCAGGUUUCCUUACAUUAAAAUAGUUCAGAAGGAACAUUUACAUCUCCUAAUGAAAGACUGCAGAAUGGAGUUGAAAUUAAGUUAUUGGAGUUCACAAUUUGUCUUGGCACAGAGCCUAAUCCAGUUUAUAAUCUAAUAUCUAUGCUGGAGUCCCUGCAUUGGAUUGUUUACAAAGAAAAUAGUGUCUACAGCUUGGAAUGGGAGAAGUUAAUGGGAGAAUUUCAAGAAGAGUUGUUGGAAAACAUGCCACAGAAAACAAACAAGCAAAUAAAGAAAAACUUUAAAGAACAGUAUAAGAACGGUUAUCAACUAAAGAAAUAUAAAUUAACUAGAUGGAUGGUGGAUCCCUUUGC
Molecule: long non-coding RNA, 568 nt
Organism: Coturnix japonica (Japanese quail)
Lineage: Eukaryota; Metazoa; Chordata; Aves; Galliformes; Phasianidae
Source: RefSeq, a predicted model, not a curated record